AACGAACGCUGGCGGCAUGCCUAACACAUGCAAGUCGAACGAAGGCUUCGGCCUUAGUGGCGCACGGGUGCGUAACGCGUGGGAAUCUGCCCUUGGGUUCGGAAUAACUCAGAGAAAUUUGAGCUAAUACCGAAUGAUGUCGAAAGACCAAAGAUUUAUCGCCCAAGGAUGAGCCCGCGUAGGAUUAGCUUGUUGGUGAGGUAAAGGCUCACCAAGGCGACGAUCCUUAGCUGGUCUGAGAGGAUGAUCAGCCACACUGGGACUGAGACACGGCCCAGACUCCUACGGGAGGCAGCAGUGGGGAAUAUUGGACAAUGGGCGAAAGCCUGAUCCAGCAAUGCCGCGUGAGUGAUGAAGGCCUUAGGGUUGUAAAGCUCUUUUACCAGGGAUGAUAAUGACAGUACCUGGAGAAUAAGCUCCGGCUAACUCCGUG
Molecule: ribosomal RNA, 433 nt
Filed under: uncultured bacterium
Lineage: Bacteria
Description: bacterial SSU rRNA
Rfam family: Bacterial small subunit ribosomal RNA
Source: RNAcentral